This 392-nucleotide ribosomal RNA is filed under the name uncultured bacterium. RNAcentral describes it as "partial 16S ribosomal RNA". It matches the Rfam family "Bacterial small subunit ribosomal RNA", at positions 523 to 918 of the family's 1533-position model. The record is from RNAcentral.
AUACGGAGGAUCCGAGCGUUAUCCGGAUUUAUUGGGUUUAAAGGGUGCGCAGGCGGCCAUUUAAGUCAGCGGUUAAAUCGUGGGGCUCAACCCCAUUCUGCCGUUGAUACUGGGUGGCUUGAUUGCGGUCGAGGUUGGCGGAAUUCGUUGUGUAGCGGUGAAAUGCAUAGAUAUGACGAAGAACACCGAUUGCGUAGGCAGCUGACCAGACCGCAAAUGACGCUCAUGCACGAAAGUGCGGGGAUCGAACAGGAUUAGAUACCCUGGUAGUCCGCACAGUAAACGAUGAAUACUUGUUUUCGGCGAUAUAAUGUCGGAGGCAAAGCGAAAGCGAUAAGUAUUCCCCCUGGGGAGUACGCCGGCAACGGUGAAACUCAAAUGAAUUGACGGGG